GAUGAACGCUGGCGGCGUGCUUAACACAUGCAAGUCGAACGAAGCACUUUUAAUUCUUCGGAAGAGGAAGUGACUGAGUGGCGGACGGGUGAGUAACGCGUGGGUAACCUGCCUUAUACAGGGGGAUAACAGUUAGAAAUGACUGCUAAUACCGCAUAAGCCGAUAGAGUCGCAUGACUUAGUCGGAAAAGAUUUAUCGGUAUAAGAUGGACCCGCGACUGAUUAGCUAGUUGGUGAGGUAAUGGCCCACCAAGGCGACGAUCAGUAGCCGGCUUGAGAGAGUGAACGGCCACAUUGGGACUGAGACACGGCCCAAACUCCUACGGGAGGCAGCAGUGGGGAAUAUUGCACAAUGGGGGAAACCCUGAUGCAGCAACGCCGCGUGAAGGAAGAUGUAUUUCGGUAUGUAAACUUCUAUCAGCAGGGAAGAAAAUGACGGUACCUGAUUAAGAAGCCCCGGCUAACUACGUGCCAGCAGCCGCCGUAA
RNAcentral lists this ribosomal RNA (487 nucleotides) under uncultured bacterium. Its description in RNAcentral is "partial 16S ribosomal RNA". It matches the Rfam family "Bacterial small subunit ribosomal RNA", at positions 28 to 523 of the family's 1533-position model. The record is from RNAcentral.